Long non-coding RNA from Callorhinchus milii (elephant shark), 208 nucleotides. RefSeq lists it as uncharacterized. The transcript has 3 exons. Lineage: Eukaryota; Metazoa; Chordata; Chondrichthyes; Chimaeriformes; Callorhinchidae. The record is from RefSeq and is a predicted model, not a curated record.
UUACCAGAUGUACAGUCUUUCCUUUACCAAUAGGGUAACAGCCCAACGGCUGCUUGAGAGAAACGGCCAGUUCAUGAAGUUUGAAGAGCCCAGUGUCCAAGAUUUGAUUUCAUGUUGGUUUCCUGAGAAUGGCAAGAUAAACCAGAGCCAAAAGGCAACGGAAGGCUCCUCUCCGGCUAACAGUGACAUUCAGCAAAGCGAGCAGGCA